AACGAACGCUGGCGGCAUGCCUAACACAUGCAAGUCGAACGAGAUCUUCGGGUCUAGUGGCGCACGGGUGCGUAACGCGUGGGAAUCUGCCCUUUGGUUCGGAAUAACAGUUGGAAACGACUGCUAAUACCGGAUGAUGACGAAAGUCCAAAGAUUUAUCGCCAGAGGAUGAGCCCGCGUAGGAUUAGCUAGUUGGUGUGGUAAAGGCGCACCAAGGCGACGAUCCUUAGCUGGUCUGAGAGGAUGAUCAGCCACACUGGGACUGAGACACGGCCCAGACUCCUACGGGAGGCAGCAGUGGGGAAUAUUGGACAAUGGGCGAAAGCUUGAUCCAGCAAUGCCGCGUGAGUGAUGAAGGCCUUAGGGUUGUAAAGCUCUUUUACCCGGGAUGAUAAUGGCAGUACCGGGAGAAUAAGCGCCGGCUAACUCCGUGCCAGCCGCCGCGGUAA
This 449-nucleotide ribosomal RNA is filed under the name uncultured bacterium. Its description in RNAcentral is "partial 16S ribosomal RNA". It matches the Rfam family "Bacterial small subunit ribosomal RNA", at positions 29 to 523 of the family's 1533-position model. The record is from RNAcentral.